ACUUUCUUGCAGUGCAAGUGUUAGCAGCAGUAAGAGAGGGAAAGGUGUGUUUAUAUACACACACAGGACACACGCAUACAUAAUCUAGAUAAAGAAAAGCCAGAACAAAGCUGUGAGCACUGAGGGUAGGCAUCACACUGCUCUGUCACAUUCACUCAUGUCUGCUUGAGUGUGUGCAUCCCCUCCCUUCCUCCCUUCCUCCCUUCCUCUCUUCCUCCCUUCCUCCCUUCCUCCUUUCCUCCCUUCCUCCCUUCCUCCCUUCCAUACUUCUUUCAAUCUUCUUCUGUUUUGUUUGUUUGUUUUGUCUUAUUUUGAGACAGCUUUGUAACUCUGGCCUAGAAUUUACUCUGUAGUCCAGGCUGGCCCCACACCCUCCUGCCGGUGCUGAGAUUAAAGGUGCACACCACACCUGGCCUUGUCUCGGUUCCUGUGGCUUAGUCCUCUUGGAAAAGAGUGUCUGUGCAGAAGCUUCUAGAUUAGCCGUUUCUGAAUAAAUGCUUGUGCUGAAGUCUUAAUGGCUAACUCCAAAUAGUGACAGAAGCAUUCUGUUUGCUGUGACCUUCCUGUGUCAUGCAUUUUAAGUGAUCAUGUGAGUCAUAGAAAUUAGUGUGAGUGAGGUUUUAAAAACAUUGGCUAUUAACUCAAAAAGAUUGGCUUUAAGUAUAAUUCCCUUUCUCUCAUCGUUUGCACAGUAUUCGCCUGGGAAUUUUCCUCCGGAGGUACCCCAUAGCACGAGUGUUUGUGAUUAUCUAUAUGGCUUUACUUCACCUCUGGGUCAUGAUUGUCCUGCUGACCUACUCACCAGAAAUGCACCAUGACCAACCAU
RNAcentral lists this long non-coding RNA (826 nucleotides) under Rattus norvegicus (Norway rat). Its description in RNAcentral is "long non-coding RNA NONRATT024577". The record is from RNAcentral. Lineage: Eukaryota; Metazoa; Chordata; Mammalia; Rodentia; Muridae.